AAGUCGUAACAAGGUUUCCGUAGGUGAACCUGCGGAAGGAUCAUUAACGAGUUUUGAAAUGGGUUGUAAGCUGGCCUUCAAAAACCGAAGGCAUGUGCACACCCUGCUCAUCCACUCUUCAACCUCUGUGCACUUAUUGUAGGAAGGUCGAAAAGUUGAGCUUCGCUGUUUAAUCGCGGCUUGAGGUUCCUUCGAAGCCUUCUUAUGUUUUAUUUUACAAACACUUCAGUUAUAGAAUGUCAAUUUGCGAAUAACGCAAUACAAUACAACUUUCAGCAACGGAUCUCUUGGCUCUC
Molecule: unclassified non-coding RNA, 296 nt
Filed under: fungal sp.
Lineage: Eukaryota; Fungi
Description: partial internal transcribed spacer region
Rfam family: Eukaryotic small subunit ribosomal RNA (bases 1-46)
Source: RNAcentral